This 1438-nucleotide ribosomal RNA is filed under the name uncultured bacterium. RNAcentral's name for it is "bacterial SSU rRNA". It matches the Rfam family "Bacterial small subunit ribosomal RNA". The record is from RNAcentral.
AGAGUUUGAUCCUGGCUCAGAACGUACGCUGGCGGCACGCCUAAUACAUGCAAGUCGAACGAAGUAGCAAUACUUAGUGGCAGACGGGUGAGUAAUAUGUAGGUAUCUUCCCAUUGGUGAGGAAUAACACGAGGAAACUUGUGCUAAUACCUCAUAAGUCUUUACGGAGAAAGCUUUAUGCGCCGAUGGAUGAGCCUGCACUUGAUUAGUUUGUUGGUAGGGUAAUGGCCUACCAAGACAAUGAUCAAUAGCUGAUUUGAGAGGAUGAUCAGCCACAUUGGGACUGAGACACGGCCCAAACUCCUACGGGAGGCAGCAGUAGGGAAUCUUGCACAAUGGGGGAAACCCUGAUGCAGCGAUGCCGCGUGAGUGAAGAAGGCCUUUGGGUUGUAAAGCUCUUUCGUCGGGGAAGAAAAUGACUGUACCCGAAUAAGAAGGUCCGGCUAACUUCGUGCCAGCAGCCGCGGUAAUACGAAGGGACCUAGCGUAGUUCGGAAUUACUGGGCUUAAAGAGUUCGUAGGUGGUUAAAAAAGUUGGUGGUGAAAUCCCAGAGCUUAACUCUGGAACUGCCAUCAAAACUUUUUAGCUAGAGUAUGAUAGAGGAAAGCAGAAUUUCUAGUGUAGAGGUGAAAUUCGUAGAUAUUAGAAAGAAUACCAAUUGCGAAGGCAGCUUUCUGGAUCAUUACUGACACUGAGGAACGAAAGCAUGGGUAGCGAAGAGGAUUAGAUACCCUCGUAGUCCAUGCCGUAAACGAUGUGUGUUAGACGUUGGAAAUUUAUUUUCAGUGUCGCAGCGAAAGCGAUAAACACACCGCCUGGGGAGUACGACCGCAAGGUUAAAACUCAAUGAAUUGACGGGGACCCGCACAAGUAGUGGAGCAUGUGGUUUAAUUCGAAGAUACGCGCAGAACCUUACCAACACUUGACAUGUUCGUCGCGACUUUAAGAGAUUAAAGUUUUCGGUUCGGCCGGACGAAACACAGGUGCUGCAUGGCUGUCGUCAGCUCGUGUCGUGAGAUGUUGGGUUAAGUCCCGCAACGAGCGCAACCCUCACUUUUAGUUGCCAUCAUUUAGUUGGGCACUCUGAAAGAACUGCCAGUGAUAAGCUGGAGGAAGGUGGGGAUGACGUCAAGUCCUCAUGGCCCUUACGUGUUGGGCUACACACGUGCUACAAUGGUAUCUACAACAGGAAGCAAGACUGCGAAGUUAAGCAAAUCCUUAAAAGAUACCUCAGUUCGGAUUGCACUCUGCAACUCGAGUGCAUGAAGCUGGAAUUACUAGUAAUCGUGGAUCAGCGUGCCACGGUGAAUGCGUUCCCGGGUCUUGUACACACCGCCCGUCACACCAUGGGAGUUGGUUCUACCUUAAGGCAAGGUUUCAAACCCUUGACCACGGUAUAGUCAGCGACUGGGGUGAAGUCGUAACAAGGUAGCCGUA